This 1447-nucleotide ribosomal RNA is filed under the name uncultured organism. Its description in RNAcentral is "SSU rRNA". It matches the Rfam family "Bacterial small subunit ribosomal RNA". The record is from RNAcentral.
GGCUCAGGAUGAACGCUAGCUACAGGCUUAACACAUGCAAGUCGAGGGGCAGCAUGGUCUUAGCUUGCUAAGGCCGAUGGCGACCGGCGCACGGGUGAGUAACACGUAUCCAACCUGCCGUCUACUCUUGGACAGCCUUCUGAAAGGAAGAUUAAUACAAGAUGGCAUCAUGAGUCCGCAUGUUCACAUGAUUAAAGGUAUUCCGGUAGACGAUGGGGAUGCGUUCCAUUAGAUAGUAGGCGGGGUAACGGCCCACCUAGUCUUCGAUGGAUAGGGGUUCUGAGAGGAAGGUCCCCCACAUUGGAACUGAGACACGGUCCAAACUCCUACGGGAGGCAGCAGUGAGGAAUAUUGGUCAAUGGGCGAGAGCCUGAACCAGCCAAGUAGCGUGAAGGAUGACUGCCCUAUGGGUUGUAAACUUCUUUUAUAAAGGAAUAAAGUCGGGUAUGCAUACCCGUUUGCAUGUACUUUAUGAAUAAGGAUCGGCUAACUCCGUGCCAGCAGCCGCGGUAAUACGGAGGAUCCGAGCGUUAUCCGGAUUUAUUGGGUUUAAAGGGAGCGUAGAUGGAUGUUUAAGUCAGUUGUGAAAGUUUGCGGCUCAACCGUAAAAUUGCAGUUGAUACUGGAUAUCUUGAGUGCAGUUGAGGCAGGCGAAAUUCGUGGUGUAGCGGUGAAAUGCUUAGAUAUCACGAAGAACUCCGAUUGCGAAGGCAGCCUGCUAAGCUGCAACUGACAUUGAGGCUCGAAAGUGUGGGUAUCAAACAGGAUUAGAUACCCUGGUAGUCCACACGGUAAACGAUGAAUACUCGCUGUUUGCGAUAUACAGCAAGCGGCCAAGCGAAAGCGUUAAGUAUUCCACCUGGGGAGUACGCCGGCAACGGUGAAACUCAAAGGAAUUGACGGGGGCCCGCACAAGCGGAGGAACAUGUGGUUUAAUUCGAUGAUACGCGAGGAACCUUACCCGGGCUUAAAUUGCAGAUGAAUUACGGUGAAAGCCGUAAGCCGCAAGGCAUCUGUGAAGGUGCUGCAUGGUUGUCGUCAGCUCGUGCCGUGAGGUGUCGGCUUAAGUGCCAUAACGAGCGCAACCCUUGUUGUCAGUUACUAACAGGUUCCGCUGAGGACUCUGACAAGACUGCCAUCGUAAGAUGUGAGGAAGGUGGGGAUGACGUCAAAUCAGCACGGCCCUUACGUCCGGGGCUACACACGUGUUACAAUGGGGGGGUACAGAGGGCCGCUACCACGCGAGUGGAUGCCAAUCCCAAAAACCUCUCUCAGUUCGGACUGGAGUCUGCAACCCGACUCCACGAAGCUGGAUUCGCUAGUAAUCGCGCAUCAGCCACGGCGCGGUGAAUACGUUCCCGGGCCUUGUACACACCGCCCGUCAAGCCAUGGGAGCCGGGGGUACCUGAAGUGCGUAACCGCGAGGAGCGCCCUAGGGUAAAACUGG